Molecule: ribosomal RNA, 436 nt
Filed under: uncultured bacterium
Lineage: Bacteria
Description: partial 16S ribosomal RNA
Rfam family: Bacterial small subunit ribosomal RNA
Source: RNAcentral
UGGGGAAUAUUGCACAAUGGGCGAAAGCCUGAUGCAGCAACGCCGCGUGAGUGAUGAAGGUCUUCGGAUUGUAAAGCUCUGUCUUUUGGGACGAUAAUGACGGUACCAAAGGAGGAAGCCACGGCUAACUACGUGCCAGCAGCCGCGGUAAUACGUAGGUGGCGAGCGUUGUCCGGAUUUACUGGGCGUAAAGGGUGCGUAGGCGGAUGUUUAAGUGAGAUGUGAAAUACCCGGGCUUAACUUGGGUGCUGCAUUUCAAACUGGAUAUCUAGAGUGCAGGAGAGGAGAAUGGAAUUCCUAGUGUAGCGGUGAAAUGCGUAGAGAUUAGGAAGAACACCAGUGGCGAAGGCGAUUCUCUGGACUGUAACUGACGCUGAGGCACGAAAGCGUGGGUAGCAAACAGGAUUAGAUACCCUGGUAGUCCACGCCGUAAACG